UAUCUUUGCACCGUCGAAACACGGCUACAUAAAAAUUAUUUAAAACAAUAUUCGAAUG
RNAcentral lists this non-coding RNA (58 nucleotides) under unclassified sequences. RNAcentral describes it as "S15-Flavobacteria ribosomal protein leader". It matches the Rfam family "S15-Flavobacteria ribosomal protein leader". The record is from RNAcentral.